RNAcentral lists this ribosomal RNA (486 nucleotides) under uncultured bacterium. RNAcentral describes it as "bacterial SSU rRNA". It matches the Rfam family "Bacterial small subunit ribosomal RNA", at positions 349 to 827 of the family's 1533-position model. The record is from RNAcentral.
CAGCAGUGGGGAAUUUUGGACAAUGGGCGCAAGCCUGAUCCAGCCAUGCCGCGUGCAGGAUGAAGGCCUUCGGGUUGUAAACUGCUUUUGUACGGAACGAAAAGACUCCUUCUAAUAAAGGGGGUCCAUGACGGUACCGUAAGAAUAAGCACCGGCUAACUACGUGCCAGCAGCCGCGGUAAUACGUAGGGUGCGAGCGUUAAUCGGAAUUACUGGGCGUAAAGCGUGCGCAGGCGGUUAUAUAAGACAGAUGUGAAAUCCCCGGGCUCAACCUGGGAACUGCAUUUGUGACUGUAUAGCUAGAGUACGGUAGAGGGGGAUGGAAUUCCGCGUGUAGCAGUGAAAUGCGUAGAUAUGCGGAGGAACACCGAUGGCGAAGGCAAUCCCCUGGACCUGUACUGACGCUCAUGCACGAAAGCGUGGGGAGCAAACAGGAUUAGAUACCCUGGUAGUCCACGCCCUAAACGAUGUCAACUGGUUGUUGGG